CAGUAGCCGCGGUAAUACGAGGGGGGCAAGCGUCGUUCGGAAUUAUUGGGCGUAAAGGGUGCGUAGGCGGUUUGAUAAGUCUGAUGUGAAAUCUCUGGGCUCAACCCAGAGUCUGCAUCGGAAACUGUCGGGCUUGAGUAUGGGAGAGGUGAGUGGAAUUUCCGGUGUAGCGGUGAAAUGCGUAGAUAUCGGAAGGAACACCUGUGGCGAAAGCGGCUCACUGGGCCAUUACUGACGCUGAUGCACGAAAGCUAGGGGAGCAAACAGGAUUAGAGACCCCAGUAGUCCCUGUCUCUUAUAC
RNAcentral lists this ribosomal RNA (301 nucleotides) under uncultured bacterium. RNAcentral describes it as "partial 16S ribosomal RNA". It matches the Rfam family "Bacterial small subunit ribosomal RNA", at positions 509 to 807 of the family's 1533-position model. The record is from RNAcentral.